RNAcentral lists this ribosomal RNA (492 nucleotides) under uncultured bacterium. RNAcentral's name for it is "partial 16S ribosomal RNA". It matches the Rfam family "Bacterial small subunit ribosomal RNA", at positions 29 to 507 of the family's 1533-position model. The record is from RNAcentral.
AGUGAACGCUGGCGGUAGGCCUAACGCAUGCAAGUCGAACGGCAGCACAGUAAGAGCUUGCUCUUACGGGUGGCGAGUGGCGGACGGGUGAGGAAUACAUCGGAAUCUACUUUUUCGUGGGGGAUAACGUAGGGAAACUUACGCUAAUACCGCAUACGACCUACGGGUGAGAGCAGGGGAUCUUCUGACCUUGCGCGAUUGAAUGAGCCGCUGUCGGAUUAGCUAGUUGGCGGGGUAAAGGCCCACCAAGGCGACGAUCCGUAGCUGGUCUGAGAGGAUGAUCAGCCACACUGGAACUGAGACACGGACCAGACGCCUACGGGAGGCAGCAGUGGGGAAUAUUGGACAAUGGGCGCAAGCCUGAUCCAGCCAUACCGAGUGGGUGAAGAAGGCCUUCGGGUUGUAAAGCCCUUUUGUUGGGAAAGAAAAGCAGCAGGUUAAUACCACGCUGUUCUGACGGUACCCAAAGAAUAAGCACCGGCUAACUUCGUG